Non-coding RNA from Python bivittatus (Burmese python), 559 nucleotides. NCBI's taxonomy places the organism in Eukaryota, Metazoa, Chordata, Lepidosauria, Squamata, Pythonidae. The record is from RefSeq and is a predicted model, not a curated record.
AAACCAGCAUUAUCUGUUCGGCGCUCCUGUUGGCUGCCAUGCAACCUUCUACGUGGCCAAGAUGCCUUUUCAAGGAACCAGCGAAAAAGUUGGACCCUCCCAGGAGCGGGAGGCAAGAUAAAUGGAUCCUCAGACUGUGAUUCGGUUUACCUUCUUUGCUGACAUUCCAGUAUUUUCGGCAUUUGAGGAAGCUGCACAUGCUGAGUGGUGCCAAGGACCAGCACCCAUCCCAAGGCAGAUGGCAGCCCAGCUAACCAUCCAAUUUGCCAUUCAGCCAAGGCAAAGCAGCUGAGCAAGAGAACCAAAUCAAACCCCUUGCCUUGAGUCUGAGUGACUGCAACCCUGUCUUGACUUUGCAAGAGGGUGUGUGAGCAGCACACACAGAAGACGAGAGGCUCAGCAAGAUCACACUGUACAGUUAUUCUGUUAUUCUCAUAAACAUGAUUGAAACUCCCUUUGUGCUCAGCAUCUGAGUACAACGUGUUGAUUUAUUUCAUUUAUUUAUUAAACCUACUGUAUUAUACCAAGGAUUUUCUCACUGGUUUGCAGUAAAAAAUUA